UGAGGUGCGGGUGCCUCCUCUCCUUGCGUGCCGCAUGCUCGUCGCACAGUUUGCGGGGGUGUGGGGCAGGUCGUGCCCUCGAAACCCCGUCGGGCAAUCCCCUCGCCUUCACGCCACACCCCUCCCCACCUCCCUCCUCGAUCUCUCUCCACAGCACGAAGCCACGAACCCUAGCCCCCUCCCUCUCCCUCGCGUGUGCCGGUGUGCGUGAGUAAUAUGGCGGCGGCAGGGCUGGUGACCAUCAGAGGAUGCCAUGUGCUAGCUGGGGUGUUCCACGGUGAGGAACGACCGCGCUGGACGCUGUCCUACCCAGCCACACAUGGUUUUUCACGCAGAUCAAAUCUGCCAUGGUAAGGAGGGCCAAGAUCUGGACAGUGCGCCUCAACCACGCCUUCGUCUUCCACCUGCUUGCUGAUAGAGAGAUAGCAGCAGUGGUAGGAGGAGCCUGGGCGGAGAGGGGAGAAGUGGGCAAGGGGGUGCAGAGCCAGGAGGUGGGGGUCGCCGGGUGAGCACAGCCGCACAGGGCCUGGUGCCGCCGCUGACAGAGCAGAGUGGCGGACCACAAGGGGGUGCGAUGGGGUGGCCGAGAGAGCAUGGCAUCCGGCGAGACAGGCGGCUCCCAAGCAGGGAAUGCAGCGGCGCUGGCCUCUCCUCUCCCUGCCUGCCGCUAUCCUGUGUCGUCACUGCCGCUGUUGUCCUGCGUCGUCACUGAUGUCCCCAAGUGCUUCUCUCCACAAAUGGUGCCACCAUGUCCAGAUCAAGUCAAGCGCCAGGUGCAGGAAAAUAGAACACGUGCACUUAACUUGUUUGAGGAAAUUCCAUCUCGAAACAAGAUUUGAUUAGGACUUGUGUUCUUGAUGCUCUAUCUGUGGCUAACUCACUACAACAGCACAGAUGUAAAGGGAAUCCAUUGUAAGAAACACAGGUAAAAAGGCAUUUUCCUUGUUCUUACAGUUUUGGAUCAAAGUUCACAUUUACCUUGAGUGUCUCUUUUUUUGGUAUAAAAUGGAUUCAACAACCAAUUUUAUCUGAAGACCAAACUAUCAGUAAGGAAGUGCAAACUGAGAGAAGUGGGCAAAAUAACUUGAGCAAAGAACUAAUUCUAUGAAAUGCUACUUUCCAGUGAUUUGUUGUGGCCUGUUAAUUUUUCAGUAGGGAGCUUGAAGUUUUAAUGCAGAUAGGAAGUUUCAUUUUUAUUCUUAUCCACAGGCUUGCUAAAUUUACAUUUUUAAUUUCAUUUCUUUCUGGAAAGAGGCAACCUUAAACAAUUUGAUUUUUUUUACCAGAAUCCCUCUAAAACCAACCAACAACAAAUAUGAAAUGGCAUUGCAUUGUUAUAUCAGUGGUAAGUUCAUAUGCAUAUUCUCCGUUUCUCUGGAAUUGGUCGAAAGUGUUUCUUCUGCUAUUGAUUCAAUCACUAGGCUUGUUGCCUUUGUUGCUGAAUUUUGCAUUGCUACUGGAAGACACUGCAUUGUUGAAGGAGUCCAUUGGGGACUGGAGUCAAUGGCCUACAACAUGGGCAGGCACGUGCGCUUCAUGAUUGUUGUUGGUUAACUGAGAGUAUAUGAUGCUUCGAAGAAAUGAUGUGCAUAAUUCAGACUAAAUCUUGCUGGUGGCAGUGAGGAGUUUCUUUGGCUGCAGCACUUCGAUUCUUUCUCAUUGUCAAAUUUUGUUCAGCUUUUCUUCUCAUAUUUUUUGUUUGUUUCGGUGUGCUAUGUGCAUCUUGCUGGUGACCCAUGCAUUAGUCAUGCCUCCCCGUUCUGCUGUCCAUAGAAAUAUUUUUUCUCUUCAUCACCUCUGACUUUUAUUAGCUCGAGCCUUUGUAAGAGGAAGUAUACGAUCUGUUCUGUCAGCUUUAGAUUCUUAUAGAUUACCCAGGUGUUGUUUAUGGAUCGGAGUCAUUAGUUCAUGCCUAUAUUUGAAAAAAAAUCUAUAUGUGCAAAGAACUGCAUUAUUCAUGCUGACAUUACAUUUCUCUUUUUCGGACUGGCCUACUAAUGGUAGCCUCACUUCUUCUCCGCAUAGAAAUUAUCUUGAGGAAGUUUUAAGUACUAAAUUGAAAUAGUACUUUGGUGUGUACUCAAAGAAGAGGCUACCAUAUUAUUUGUUCUUACUUACGGUGGUAGCUUCUUCUCUGUGUAGAAAUUAUCUUGACGCAACUAAGGAAGACAUUGGUCAGGUCCAUCGACAUUGUCGGAGUUGUCACUUUAUUGCAGUGUCUUAUUUUCAGAUCUCAUGUUCCUCAAGAGGCUUGCUCUCACCUCUCAGUACUGCUCUAGACAGGGAACGUUGAUGACUCCAUACAGUUUCUCCAGGAUGGCAAUUUCCACCUGGAAAAGCAUCAAGGUCGGUGAUCCAAUCUGUGUUAUAUAGGAAUCUCUUCUUCGAUUGAGGCAUGGCAGCAGAUGAUGCAUCUGUUAUAUGUGUGCCAGAAGGGGGAUCCGGUUGCUUGAUUCUGUAUGCACAUUCUGUAAAUAAAACUAUGGAAUGCAGCUUUGAAAUUGUGUUCUCUGUGAUCUCCCUGCCAAACAAUAUAUUAUCUUCUGGUUCUUUAAUCUUUGUUAUACAACCUAUAACUAUCCAAUAUAUUCUUUGUAAACCAACUCAAAAGCUGUGAAACGAUGACCACGUCUGCUAAGACAAUCUUGAUAUA
Molecule: long non-coding RNA, 2653 nt
Organism: Triticum dicoccoides
Lineage: Eukaryota; Viridiplantae; Streptophyta; Magnoliopsida; Poales; Poaceae
Exons: 5
Source: RefSeq, a predicted model, not a curated record